CCCUGGUUAGCUCAGUUGGUAGAGCGCUCCACUAUGAAUGAAGAAGUCCCGGGUUCGAUACCCGGAUCAGGCG
Ixodes scapularis (black-legged tick) is the source of this 73-nucleotide non-coding RNA. Lineage: Eukaryota; Metazoa; Arthropoda; Arachnida; Ixodida; Ixodidae. The record is from Rfam.